GACGAACGCUGGCGGCGCGCCUAACACAUGCAAGUCGAACGAGCGAGCGAGCGCUUGCUUUCUCGAUCGAGUUGCGAACGGGUGAGUAACGCGUGAGAAACCUGCCUCAAAGAGGGGGACAACAGUUGGAAACGACUGCUAAUACCUCUUAAGCCCACGACCCGGCAUCGGGUGGAGGGGAGAGGGGAAAUCCGCUUCUAGAGGGGCUCGCGUCCGACUCGCUAUAUGGGGAGGUAACGGGCGACCAAGGCGACGAUCGGGAGGCGGACUGUGAGGUUGAAAGGCCACAUUGAGACUGAGACACGGCACAGACUCCUACGGGAGGAAGCAGUGGGGAAGAUUGCAGCAUGGGGGACACCCUGAUGCAGCGAGGCUGCGUGGAGGAAGAAGGUCUUCGGAGUGUAAACUCCUGUUGUUGAGGAAGAUAAUGACGGUACUCAACAAGGAAGUGACGGCUAACUACGUG
RNAcentral lists this ribosomal RNA (466 nucleotides) under uncultured bacterium. RNAcentral's name for it is "partial 16S ribosomal RNA". It matches the Rfam family "Bacterial small subunit ribosomal RNA", at positions 28 to 507 of the family's 1533-position model. The record is from RNAcentral.